This 253-nucleotide ribosomal RNA is filed under the name uncultured bacterium. RNAcentral's name for it is "partial 16S ribosomal RNA". It matches the Rfam family "Bacterial small subunit ribosomal RNA", at positions 524 to 776 of the family's 1533-position model. The record is from RNAcentral.
UACAGAGGGGGCAAGCGUUGUUCGGAAUUACUGGGCGUAAAGCGCACGUAGGCGGAUCUUUAAGUCAGGGGUGAAAUCCUGGAGCUCAACUCCAGAACUGCCUUUGAUACUGGGGAUCUCGAGUCCGGAAGAGGUGAGUGGAACUCCGAGUGUAGAGGUGAAAUUCGUAGAUAUUCGGAAGAACACCAGUGGCGAAGGCGGCUCACUGGUCCGGUACUGACGCUGGGGUGCGAAAGCGUGGGGAGCAAACAGG